This 491-nucleotide ribosomal RNA is filed under the name uncultured Bacillus sp. RNAcentral's name for it is "bacterial SSU rRNA". It matches the Rfam family "Bacterial small subunit ribosomal RNA", at positions 39 to 498 of the family's 1533-position model. The record is from RNAcentral. Lineage: Bacteria; Bacillati; Bacillota; Bacilli; Caryophanales; Bacillaceae.
GUUUUCAAUAUAUAUGUCGCCGCGGGGGCCUAUCAUGCAGUCGAGCGACUUUUGGGAGCUUGCUCCCAAAGUUAGCGGCGGACGGGUGAGUAAUCGUGGGCAACCUGCCUGUAAGACUGGGAUAACUUCGGGAAACCGGAGCUAAUACCGGAUAAUUCUUUUCCUCUCAUGAGGAAAAGCUGAAAGACGGCGCAAGCUGUCACUUACAGAUGGGCCCGCGGCGCAUUAGCUAGUUGGUGAGAUAACGGCUCACCAAGGCGACGAUGCGUAGCCGACCUGAGAGGGUGAUCGGCCACACUGGGACUGAGACACGGCCCAGACUCCUACGGGAGGCAGCAGUAGGGAAUCUUCCGCAAUGGACGAAAGUCUGACGGAGCAACGCCGCGUGAGCGAUGAAGGCCUUCGGGUCGUAAAGCUCUGUUGUUAGGGAAGAACAAGUACCGUUCGAAUAGGGCGGUACCUUGACGGUACCUAACCAGAAAGCCACGGCU